RNAcentral lists this long non-coding RNA (492 nucleotides) under Gossypium raimondii (Peruvian cotton). RNAcentral describes it as "long non-coding RNA (GRAI_LNC002565)". Lineage: Eukaryota; Viridiplantae; Streptophyta; Magnoliopsida; Malvales; Malvaceae. The record is from RNAcentral.
UAGAUUUUCCACAACCUGUCCUGGAAUUGUAUCAAAAUCAUCUUCCAAAAGAUACUGACGAAUCGAGUCCAAGAGGCUGAGGUCAAAAUUUGAAGCACUAUCACAGUACAUGUUUGUCUGUUGCUAGAAACGACUUUGACGCUUUGAGACUGGCAGGUAUGGAUUUGAUUUCAAUGGUUCCGUUGAGUUUCUAAAAUUUGCUGUUUGAUUAUAUAUAUAUAUAUAUACCUUGAAACUCUGGGUAUUAAAAUAUGGUUAUUUGCUUGCUAUUUCUGUUUUGUUUAGACAAUUCCAGGAAGUUGCUGAUGGCAGAGAGCCGAAAAUAUUUUCAUCACGUUUUUGAAGUGCUGCUACUGUUCAUUUAUUUAAUUUACUUUUAUACUUUGCAUUGUUUAUUCAUUGAACAUUUAUGGUGACAAAAGCUCCAUUACUUCAUAUUCCAUAAUUGUCCAUUUAAGAAUCAAUGAAUAAACUAAGAUUAAUUCUUAUCCA